RNAcentral lists this ribosomal RNA (253 nucleotides) under uncultured bacterium. RNAcentral describes it as "partial 16S ribosomal RNA". It matches the Rfam family "Bacterial small subunit ribosomal RNA", at positions 524 to 776 of the family's 1533-position model. The record is from RNAcentral.
UACGUAGGGGGCCAGCGUUGCUCGGAAUUACUGGGCGUACAGGGUCCGUAGGCGGUGUGGCAAGUCGGGAGUGAAAUCUCUGGGCUUAACCCAGAGGCUGCUUCCGAAACUGCCGUGCUAGAGUGUGAGAGAGGCGAGUGGAAUUGCGGGUGUAGCGGUGAAAUGCGUAGAUAUCUGCAGGAACACCCGUGGCGAAAGCGGCGCGCUGGACCACAACUGACGCUGAGGAACGAAAGCUAGGGGAGCAAACGGG